AUACUGCUGGCCUUGGGACCGGGAGAGGCGGAGGGUACCCCUGGGGUAGGGGUGAAAUCCUAUAAUCCCAGGGGGACCGCCAGUGGCGAAGGCGCUCCGCUGGAACGGGUCCGACGGUGAGGGACGAAGGCCAGGGGAGCAAACCGGAUUAGAUCCCCGGGUAGUCCUGGCUGUAAAGGAUGCGGGCUAGGUGUCGGGCGAGCUUCGAGCUCGCCCGGUGCCGAAGGGAAGCCGUUAAGCCCGCCGCCUGGGGAGUACGGCCGCAAGGCUGAAACUUAAAGGAAUUGGCGGGGGAGCACUACAAGGGGUGGAGCGUGCGGUUUAAUUGGAUUCAACGCCGGGAACCUCACCGAGGGCGACGGCAGGAUGAAGGCCAGGCUGAAGGUCUUGCCGGACACGCCGAGAGGAGGUGCAUGGCCGCCGUCAGCUCGUACCGUGAGGCGUCCACUUAAGUGUGGUAACGAGCGAGACCCGCGCCCCCAGUUGCCAGUCCUCCCCGCUGGGGAGGAGGCACUCUGGGGGGACCGCCGGCGAUAAGCCGGAGGAAGGAGCGGGCGACGGUAGGUCAGUAUGCCCCGAAACCCCCGGGCUACACGCGCGCUACAAUGGGCGGGACAAUGGGAUCCGACCCCGAAAGGGGAAGGGAAUCCCCUAAACCCGCCCCCAGUUCGGAUUGCGGGCUGCAACUCGCCCGCAUGAAGCUGGAAUCCCUAGUACCCGCGUGUCAU
This 728-nucleotide ribosomal RNA is filed under the name uncultured archaeon. RNAcentral's name for it is "bacterial SSU rRNA". It matches the Rfam family "Archaeal small subunit ribosomal RNA", at positions 581 to 1308 of the family's 1478-position model. The record is from RNAcentral.